GUCGGUGACGAUUGAGAUGAGGUCCCACCUGUUCCCAUGCCGAACACAGAAGUUAAGCUCAUCCUCGCCUACGAUACUUGGCGGGCGACUGCCCGGGAAAAUCGGUGUUGCCGACA
Molecule: ribosomal RNA, 116 nt
Filed under: Candidatus Faeciplasma avium
Lineage: Bacteria; Bacillati; Bacillota; Clostridia; Eubacteriales; Oscillospiraceae
Source: RNAcentral